This 557-nucleotide ribosomal RNA is filed under the name Sphingomonas sp. HRRK191. RNAcentral describes it as "bacterial SSU rRNA". It matches the Rfam family "Bacterial small subunit ribosomal RNA", at positions 102 to 694 of the family's 1533-position model. Lineage: Bacteria; Pseudomonadati; Pseudomonadota; Alphaproteobacteria; Sphingomonadales; Sphingomonadaceae. The record is from RNAcentral.
ACGGGUGCGUAACGCGUGGGAAUCUGCCCUUGGGUUCGGAAUAACAGUGAGAAAUUACUGCUAAUACCGAAUGAUGACGUAAGUCCAAAGAUUUAUCGCCCAGGGAUGAGCCCGCGUAGGAUUAGCUAGUUGGUGAGGUAAAAGCUCACCAAGGCGACGAUCCUUAGCUGGUCUGAGAGGAUGAUCAGCCACACUGGGACUGAGACACGGCCCAGACUCCUACGGGAGGCAGCAGUGGGGAAUAUUGGACAAUGGGCGAAAGCCUGAUCCAGCAAUGCCGCGUGAGUGAUGAAGGCCUUAGGGUUGUAAAGCUCUUUUACCCGGGAUGAUAAUGACAGUACCGGGAGAAUAAGCUCCGGCUAACUCCGUGCCAGCAGCCGCGGUAAUACGGAGGGAGCUAGCGUUAUUCGGAAUUACUGGGCGUAAAGCGCACGUAGGCGGCUUUGUAAGUUAGAGGUGAAAGCCUGGAGCUCAACUCCAGAACUGCCUUUAAGACUGCAUCGCUUGAAUCCAGGAGAGGUGAGUGGAAUUCCGAGUGUAGAGGUGAAAUUCGUAGU